This is a non-coding RNA of Caenorhabditis elegans, 21 nucleotides long. The record is from Ensembl. Lineage: Eukaryota; Metazoa; Nematoda; Chromadorea; Rhabditida; Rhabditidae.
UGCUCCCAUAAAAUGAAUUGC